CAACCCUCGAACCCCUCCGGGGGGUCGGCGUUGGGGAUCGGCCCCUCACCGGGCCGCCCCCGAAAUCCAGUGGCGGUCUCGCCGCAGCCUCUCCUGCGCAGUAGUUUGCACACUCGCACCGGGAGCGCGGCGCGGCCACAGCCGUAAAACACCCCAAACUCUGAAAUG
Molecule: ribosomal RNA, 168 nt
Filed under: Trichoderma pseudokoningii
Lineage: Eukaryota; Fungi; Ascomycota; Sordariomycetes; Hypocreales; Hypocreaceae
Description: internal transcribed spacer 2 (ITS2)
Source: RNAcentral